CAGUAUUGGCACUUUGUGAGCAUGUUCUCUUAGUUGACUUUAUCCAAAUAAUGAAGAGCGAAUAUGACAUUCAUAAAUCUGUUCGGCCAUUAUUUUAGUCUUUACCAGCCUUUAGAGACAGGAGAAAACAACCAGUUUGAAGGUUCCUGUAAGAAAAUUACUACAAUAAGGGUUGGCAUUUGACGUGUCUAAACUUUUAACGGUUAGUUUUUCAAAUUUUUAUUUUUUUUCAUUUUUUGAAGCUCCUUUACUCAGUUUACAAUAUUUUGUGUUUUCCCAAACAUAACUAGGACUAAAAUUGUACAUGGCUAUAGUUCAAUCAGUUGACUUUUGGACUUAGUACAUAAUUUUUUUGGAGAGUUCGGUUGUAUUUAAUAUAGACUAGGUAAUUUUUACAAAUUACAUAAUGUGAUCCGUUACAAAACCCGACCAAAGAAAAACUGACAUGCAAUACCUAUAAGCAUC
Molecule: long non-coding RNA, 465 nt
Filed under: Brassica rapa (field mustard)
Lineage: Eukaryota; Viridiplantae; Streptophyta; Magnoliopsida; Brassicales; Brassicaceae
Description: long non-coding RNA (BRAP_LNC005155)
Source: RNAcentral